Molecule: ribosomal RNA, 557 nt
Filed under: Actitis hypoleucos (common sandpiper)
Lineage: Eukaryota; Metazoa; Chordata; Aves; Charadriiformes; Scolopacidae
Description: partial 12S ribosomal RNA
Rfam family: Bacterial small subunit ribosomal RNA
Source: RNAcentral
AUGAUAUCACAGUAACUAAGACCACAGUGCAGCUAAGCUGUCAUGAGCUAUAGAUGUACCUAAGACCACCCUAACAAACAAUCUUAGCAUUUUAGAUUAAUUUAAUUCCACGAAAGCUAAGCCACAAACUGGGAAUAAGAUACCCCACUAUGCUUAGCCUUAAAUCUUGAUGCUUUUUAUACUAAAGCAUCCGCCCGAGAACUACGAGCACAAACGCUUAAAACUCUAAGGACUUGGCGGUGCCCUAAACCCACCUAGAGGAGCCUGUUCUAUAAUCGAUAACCCACGUUAUACCCGACCACCUCUCGCCAAAAGCAGCCUACAUACCGCCGUCGCCAGCUCACCUUUCUGAGAGUUUAACAGUGAGCACAAUAGCUUAAACCCGCUAACAAGACAGGUCGAGGUAUAGCCUAUGAGGUGGAAGAAAUGGGCUACAUUUUCUAAAUAGAAAACCCACGGAAGGGGGUGUGAAACCACCCCCCAAAGGCGGAUUUAGCAGUAAAGAGGGACAAUAUAAGCCCCCUUUAAGCCGGCCCUGGGCACGUACAUACCGCCCG